RNAcentral lists this small RNA (135 nucleotides) under Oxynema acuminatum PCC 6304. Its description in RNAcentral is "Oscillatoria acuminata PCC 6304 c-di-AMP riboswitch aptamer (ydaO/yuaA leader)". It matches the Rfam family "c-di-AMP riboswitch aptamer (ydaO/yuaA leader)". Rfam says of the family: This family represents a conserved RNA structure found upstream of the ydaO and yuaA genes in Bacillus subtilis and related genes in other bacteria. The ydaO/yuaA element is thought to act as a genetic "off" switch for the ydaO and yuaA genes in its native state. It is believed that the element may be triggered during osmotic shock leading to activation of ydaO, a predicted amino acid transporter gene, and members of the yuaA-yubG operon which code for KtrA and KtrB K+ transporters. RNAcentral also lists the same sequence under 1 other name. The record is from Rfam by way of RNAcentral. Lineage: Bacteria; Bacillati; Cyanobacteriota; Cyanophyceae; Oscillatoriales; Oscillatoriaceae.
GGAUAAAUUUUGCUAAUCCUAUCCAACAACUGAAGCGGGGGAACCCAGUCAGGGGCUUAUUUUCUAAACCUAGAAAAGGGAUAUCUCUCAAUCCUCGCCCAUCAGCUAACCCCGUCGGCCUUGAGACGAGACUGA